Episyrphus balteatus (marmalade hoverfly) is the source of this 3987-nucleotide long non-coding RNA. RefSeq lists it as uncharacterized. The transcript has 2 exons. Lineage: Eukaryota; Metazoa; Arthropoda; Insecta; Diptera; Syrphidae. The record is from RefSeq and is a predicted model, not a curated record.
UACAUAAAAUUUUGAAAAAAAUUAGUUUGAAAAUUUUUUUUUCAAAAUUUUGAUUUCGAAAAUUAAUUUUUCAAAAACUGUGCCAGAAAAUGGCCAUAUUAAGCAUUUUUAUAAAAGACGAGGUUUUUGGCUUUACAAAAAGGUAUAGCACGUUAUUGGGAAUAGACCCUCCUCCCAUACGAUUUUUUUCUUGUCUCGACCGAACCUACACGCUCUAACUUUUUGGCACAUUGCUCCAUAUCUUUUGAAAAUUGCUCCGAGUACAUUACUUCCAACAAGCAUGUAAAUUUUAAAGGGCGUUGUGAACCCUCAAGAUAUUUUUUGAUCGGGCUGAGAUUUGGUAUGCUCUUUUUUGAUGACUAAUGGCACCCGUCCCUAGUAUGUAGAAGAAGAAAAAAAAAGUGCAGUUUCACUCCACCCUAGUAACCAUUGGUAAAUUUCCUUCAUAAAAUACUCCUUUUUCUAUUAUUUUUCUGAAAGAGCUUGCAAAAUUAAUGCUUUUUUCAAGCUUUUAGAACGAAAAAAAAGCAUAGGUGUUGUCGUGGUGUUAGUGGCUGUUUGAUUUUUAUUUUGUUUAUGUAGGAAAACAGUUAAUGUCAACAUUUUAACCUGCAUUUUAACAUUUCAACAGGAAAAAUUUUUUACAGAUGAGUCUAAAAUGAGUGAAUUUUUUGUUUGAUGUCAAACGAAAAUUUUAUUUUUUUUUUCGUUUUUGUGAAAUUUUACCGACAAAAUGGUUACGCUGGUACCUUUUCGAAAAAAUUUUUUCGGAUAAUACGGCAUCGCUGUGUGAGCUUUUUUAUGUGAUAGACAUAUCCAGAAGGCGUGAAGCAGAGUGAGAUGCAAAUGCCCUAUCUUCCCUGUACUGCAAAUUUUUAUCGAACAGAGUAUAGUCAUUUUGCUCAGAUUAGACAAGUUUUCUUUCCACCAGAGAGGAAAAGUUUUGCUACUAUGUCUAACCGGGCACGAGGCCUUAAAGGCAGUGAUCAUCGAUCUUUCAAAAGAUAAAACAUCAAGAUCCGCAACCGUAUCUGUACUCAGAUUAGGUAUGCUGCGUAGCUUUGCACUAAAAAUUUGGCUGAAUUUCUUCCAGUCAAUUCUUUUGGGAAUUUGGAUUCAAAAUUAAGUUGGAAGAGAAUCCAACUAUGAUCUGAAAAAGAUUUUAAUGUCUAUAUUCGCCAAUUUACUACCUGCAAUUCGGAGUUAAUAUUUAUGAGAGUAAUAUCCAGUAUCCAGCACAUCCUCCGACCCAUUAUAAUUGUCUGAACUCGGAAAAAUGAAGGUUAGAGAAGUACCUCUGUUACAAAUAGUAAUGUUGUUUUCAAUAAUACAAUAAAAUAAAGGCUCACCUCUUCGUUGAUCUCUGAACUAACCUAUAUAGUGUGAAGUGCGUUUGCGUCACACCCAAUGAGUAGGCUAGUCUUUGAUGUGUUGGCUUCAGAUGUCAGUCUGCGUACCUCAUCCGGCGGUGACUCCUGGUCAUGUGCAAAGUACGCCGAGGCCAAAGUGUUCGAACUCUCUAAUUUAACAACUGUUGGGAUACAGAAAAUCUUUUAAAUGUUUUUUAGCUAAAAUACAUGUUGUUGGCUAACCUUGGUUCGAAAUGACGGGCUUAUAAAAAAGGUCAUAUUGGCUGUCUUGGAGGCCUCUCACUUGAAGGCCAUUAAUCCAGGAUUCUUGGAUCAUGCCCACAUCGAAGUUUUCCUCCCUCAGGCUAUCCGAAGCACAUUUAAGAGUGCUUCAGAUUAACCUGAAUUACGCGCAGCAUGUUUUUAAUUCUUAUCAGAUCCUGGACAGUCAGUUGCCGGCACCUCGCCUGAAACCCCAGCCUUUUUAGAGACAUCGUCAGCCUCGGCAAUAUCCUCAACCAGGUUAGGGUCCAUUUCCUGACUGCAGAAUCUUGAUUUUGGCAUGGCCAAAGAAAAGCUUAAAAUCGGAUUUUUCGAGAGCCCCACGGCCGACUUCGCAAAUCCUCAGAAGGUAAGACUCGCUGUGCCCAGUCAUGCAUCGGAAUCGGCGGGUUUAACUUCUGGACACUACGAAUCAGUUCCGGUCCACUUGGCUUGAUACUCAUGAGGGGCAGCCAAAUGCAAGCCAGCGGUUGUCUUGGUAUUUCCUUAGCUGGGAUAAGCUUGAGCUUCAAGCCAGUAUUGCUGAUCUCAGCAAUAUUUUUACUAAGGAAAUCCCUAGAAAACCCAUCUUGAUUAUCCUGUAUCCCCUGAGAAUCUCACCGGAGUCGAAACGUGGGAAGGGUUCCUCAGUUUCAGAAAGGGUAUAAAGGAACACCAUCUCAGACAGCUUAGCCUCGAUGGAGUUCCGCACUGACAUCAGAGCUCUGUUGUUAGUGGAGAGCUCAUGUACAAUCGCCACUUGAAGAUCGUCCCUAACAAUCUCACUUAAAGUGAGCGAUUGUACCGCUCCCUGAGGUGGUGCUUUCUUAUUACUGCCGCCGGUUCUGGAUUUUUUCUGAGGGAGAUUAGCUUCCUCACAAGACCUUUUUCUCUUGACGGUCUUUUUUGGCUCAAUAAGAAGAUUCUUGUAUUCUUAAGUUUAAUUAAAUUUUACGAAACUCACCGCGUAUUUAUAAGAAAUAUUUAAUUUUAUUUCUUCGCCCCGACGUUUCGAAGAACUUUCAAACUUCGCGGUCACGGGAUUAAAAUGGGUUUGAUGGAUGUUGUUAAUUGUUGUUGUUUGUUCUCGAUCGCACACGCAAGUUGUACCUGUGCGUAGUUGUUGGUGCAUUUUAUAUUGCAGAAAAUGAUUGAUACCCGCGAAAAGCAUAACUUAAAAUCUAGUAUUCUUGUACUCCUCAAUAAUCUUCCCAUAUUUAAUUUUGUUAGCGGCAUCGUUCUCGUGUGGAGUUCCAGCUUCCUCAUUUAAAGCAAUAUUUCCAAGAAUGAAGGAAGCCCACUUGAAUUCCGCUCUGCGAUACGAAAUUGCUGUUCUUUUCUUACGGCGGGUAGCAUCGCUUUGGCUGGCUUUGCUACCCCAAGGAUUUAUAAGGCUUGAUAAGGGUCGAAGCACAGGGGUACUAUGGCUGGUACCGCCUGCAUUUCAAGGUUUGCAGGUUACUCAGGCAUGCUAGUGUCUCCAGCAUUAAGUGAACAACCGACUUUAGCCUCCUGGUUCGAGGCCAAAAGUUCAUCCUCAAUAUAGGAUGUAUUAGCGUCUGUUCUGUGGUUUUCGUCCAUUUUUAAUUGACGUAUAUAAGUUGACGUCCCACGAGUAGGUCGAAAAAGAAAGGUCAACCCCGGCAGAGCCGAUUACCGGGACAAGGCAAAAAUUAUGACGGAUCCUGCCAAGGCAUCCGAAAGAGCUCCUUCGCGACUGGCUUGUCCCCCAGUCUUCUAUUUCUUCGGCACGGAUUAUGAAAACGUACACCCCACCACUGAAAAUUGGGAACCUUGUAUCGAUGGUAAAAUUGGUAAAAUUUCUGGUUGUUUAACUAUUGAGGAGUUAAAAAACAACACAGCUAUGCAACAUGACCUUAGCUGAUCCCCAUCUUUCCAAAAACGCACAAGAUAAAAAAAAAACUGUGGAGAUCAUUACCGCCUAGAGUUUUAAGAAGAAAUGAUGAUAAACUGAUAGGUCGCAGGUAUUUCGGAUUAACAUGAGAGAAUUUGCCUGCUUUGGGCAUGAAUACAACUUUAACUUCUCUCCAUAGGCCAGGCAUGUGUUUCAAGUCUACACAUCCAUUCAGAAUUAUCUCUAAGAUGGGAUUUUGAAUAUCUGAUGCCAAUGGAAGUUCGGCUGGUAUUAUACCAUCUGGUGCUGUUUUUAUAUAUAACUUAUAUAUAUAUAUAGUAUAACUUCAAAGAUUUUUUAAUAAAAUAAAUUUUUUUCCCUAAACAUUUUUCCAAAGGAGAAUGCCCAAAAAAAAACCAGUAUCGAUACGAAUGAGACCUAUAUGGCUUGAAAGGGCAUCAAUAGUAGAACCUUUAAAAAAGAGGACUUAAAAGAAAAAAAAAACAAAGAACAAAAAAGAGA